UACGUAUGGAGCAAGCGUUAUCCGGAUUUACUGGGUGUAAAGGGAGCGCAGGCGGUCUGGCAAGUCUGGUGUGAAAGGCCGGGGCUCAACCCCGGGACUGCAUUGGAAACUGUCAGACUGGAGUGUCGGAGAGGCAAGCGGAAUUCCUAGUGUAGCGGUGAAAUGCGUAGAUAUUAGGAGGAACACCAGUGGCGAAGGCGGCUUGCUGGACGAUGACUGACGCUGAGGCUCGAAAGCGUGGGGAGCAAACA
This 251-nucleotide ribosomal RNA is filed under the name uncultured bacterium. RNAcentral describes it as "partial 16S ribosomal RNA". It matches the Rfam family "Bacterial small subunit ribosomal RNA", at positions 524 to 774 of the family's 1533-position model. The record is from RNAcentral.